CCAACGGCCCUCUUUAGGGCCACAAAUUCCCAAAUAAUCCUUAUAU
Caenorhabditis brenneri is the source of this 46-nucleotide non-coding RNA. Lineage: Eukaryota; Metazoa; Nematoda; Chromadorea; Rhabditida; Rhabditidae. The record is from Rfam.